UUAUUAAUAAAGGGUGAAAUCGAUUUUUUGAUGUGAUAAUAAAUAAGUUGAUUUGAAUUAAGUUAAAGUUGUUAAGGUAAAGGUAUGAACCAGGAUUAGAUACCCUGUUACACUUUAUUAAAAAUUAAAAUACCUGGGUAUUAAACAGUUAUUGGCUUGAAACUCAAAGGAUUUGGCGGUAGUUUAGUCCAUUUAGAGGAACCUGUUCUGUGAUCGAUAGUCCACGAAAAAUCUUACUUUGCUUUGUAUGGUUUCAGUUUGUAUACCGUCAUUAUUAGAUAACUUUAAUAAAAUUUUAGUUGUUGAAAUAGUUUUUAUUUAAUAUAUUAGAUCAAGGUGCAGCUUAUGGUAAAGGAGAAAUGGGUUACAUUAAUAUAAAUAUUUAAUACGAAUUAAAAAAAGAAUAUUUUUAUGAAGGUGGAUUUAAUAGUAAAGAAAUUUUAAUAAGGUUUCUUGAUUGUGGCUCUAGACUAUGUACACAUUGCCCGUCGCUCUCGUUAAUUAAAGC
Molecule: ribosomal RNA, 508 nt
Filed under: Metapenaeopsis provocatoria longirostris
Lineage: Eukaryota; Metazoa; Arthropoda; Malacostraca; Decapoda; Penaeidae
Description: partial 12S ribosomal RNA
Rfam family: Microsporidia small subunit ribosomal RNA (bases 136-508)
Source: RNAcentral